ACGGACUGUGUCGUAUGUGUGUACACAACUAGUUUCAUAACCCAGAUCACAAGCAUCUGCUAAGGAUAUUUAUAUACCCAAAGGGUGUUGAUCAAACCUACGUGGUGGAUAACGUUUGGAGGUGAAUUUGCAGGUUUCAAUUUCCCAUUUAAGAAUCAAGAUCAUGAGAAUAUAUCUGAAGGUGGCAACGUGGUCUGCAGUGUGCAGUAUGUUCGUCAUGACAGUGAUAUGUACUGACCUUGACCUCACCGGAGAUCCUGUUUCCGUAGUAGAGAGUGGCUUGCUAACACUGUCCUGCAGUAAAACAACAGAUAAUAUCCCGCCGUUAACUGCAGUGAGGUGGUACAGAAACACAGAGGCGAUAUUUCAAACAGUUGGGGAAAGUACUACCAGAUGACUCA
Molecule: long non-coding RNA, 401 nt
Organism: Haliotis rubra (blacklip abalone)
Lineage: Eukaryota; Metazoa; Mollusca; Gastropoda; Lepetellida; Haliotidae
Exons: 3
Source: RefSeq, a predicted model, not a curated record